GAUGUAUGGACUUGUAAGGACUGAAUGGUUGAUGAGUAACCAGGCUGAUGAAUAUGAGAUGGCUUAAAAAG
This 71-nucleotide small nucleolar RNA is filed under the name Saccharolobus islandicus HVE10/4. RNAcentral describes it as "Sulfolobus islandicus HVE10/4 non-coding RNA". Lineage: Archaea; Thermoproteati; Thermoproteota; Thermoprotei; Sulfolobales; Sulfolobaceae. RNAcentral also lists the same sequence under 1 other name. The record is from RNAcentral.